UACGGAGGGUGCAAGCGUUAUCCGGAUUCACUGGGUUUAAAGGGUGCGUAGGUGGGUCUGUAAGUCCGUGGUGAAAUCUCUAGGCUUAACCUGGAAACUGCCAUGGAUACUAUAGGUCUUGAAUACUGUGGAGGUCAGCGGAAUAUGUCAUGUAGCGGUGAAAUGCUUAGAUAUGACAUAGAACACCAAUUGCGAAGGCAGCUGGCUACACAAAUAUUGACACUGAGGCACGAAAAGCGUAGGGGAUCAAAACAGG
Molecule: ribosomal RNA, 256 nt
Filed under: uncultured bacterium
Lineage: Bacteria
Description: partial 16S ribosomal RNA
Rfam family: Bacterial small subunit ribosomal RNA
Source: RNAcentral